Molecule: ribosomal RNA, 506 nt
Filed under: Janibacter terrae
Lineage: Bacteria; Bacillati; Actinomycetota; Actinomycetes; Micrococcales; Intrasporangiaceae
Description: bacterial SSU rRNA
Rfam family: Bacterial small subunit ribosomal RNA
Source: RNAcentral
UGGAGAGUUUGAUCCUGGCUCAGGACGAACGCUGGCGGCGUGCUUAACACAUGCAAGUCGAACGGUGAAGCUCAAGCUUGCUUGGGUGGAUCAGUGGCGAACGGGUGAGUAACACGUGAGCAACCUGCCCCGGACUCUGGAAUAAGCGCUGGAAACGGCGUCUAAUACUGGAUAUGACACCAAUCCGCAUGGGUAUGGUGUGGAAAGUUUUUCGGUCUGGGAUGGGCUCGCGGCCUAUCAGCUUGUUGGUGAGGUAAUGGCUCACCAAGGCGACGACGGGUAGCCGGCCUGAGAGGGCGACCGGCCACACUGGGACUGAGACACGGCCCAGACUCCUACGGGAGGCAGCAGUGGGGAAUAUUGCACAAUGGGCGAAAGCCUGAUGCAGCGACGCCGCGUGAGGGAUGACGGCCUUCGGGUUGUAAACCUCUUUCAGCAGGGAAGAAGCGAAAGUGACGGUACCUGCAGAAAAAGCACCGGCUAACUACGUGCCAGCAGCCGCGGUA